This 569-nucleotide long non-coding RNA is filed under the name Homo sapiens (human). Its description in RNAcentral is "novel transcrpt". Lineage: Eukaryota; Metazoa; Chordata; Mammalia; Primates; Hominidae. The record is from RNAcentral.
AACAUAUGAUCUGUGCUGCUGUUGGUGCAGGAGGACAGGAGGGAAAUAAGCUGGAAGCCAUGGAUGUGGAGAGUCUGGCUUCAAGAUGGAGCUUGUUUACCUGCAGGGCCCCAUGCAGAACCUCAUGAGACGUGACUUCAGAGGCCUCCUCUCUGAAGGUGAGGGAGGCGUCAGCUGUUCAGAGAGAGAGGCUGCCUUGCCUGGGGACACACAGCUAGCCAGUGGCCGGAGCAGCAGUGGAUGCAGUUGUCCUGAUGCAUAGUUCAAGAAGCUUUUUUUUUUUUUUUUUUUUUCACGUGUGAAAACAUCUAUUGGGAAAAUGGAAAAAUCAUUUGACCUCAUAUUCCUCAUAGCUGACAUGCCUGGCUCCUUUCUGUGGAGAAGAUCCUGAGAGGAACCACAACUUGACAAAACCAAAAUGUGGUGGUGAGCCAACUUCAAUUUUGCAGAAACUGACUUGGAAAGAACUGAUUACCUGAAGGACCGUGAGGAUCAAAGUUGUCCCACUGACCAGGCUGUAAACUUUGGAACUGAUAAGUGAGAGAGAUAAGGUAAACUUCUUUACCUUU